Molecule: ribosomal RNA, 130 nt
Filed under: Pteropus alecto (black flying fox)
Lineage: Eukaryota; Metazoa; Chordata; Mammalia; Chiroptera; Pteropodidae
Source: RNAcentral
GUCUACGGCCAUGCCUCCCUGAAUGGGCCCGUCCUCAUCUGAUCUCGGAAUCUAGAAGGGUUAAUACUUGGUUAGUACUUGGUUAGUACUUGGAUGGGAGACUACCCAGGAAUACCAGGUGCUGUGGGCG